RNAcentral lists this unclassified non-coding RNA (200 nucleotides) under soil metagenome. RNAcentral's name for it is "partial contains internal transcribed spacer 2 and large subunit ribosomal RNA". The record is from RNAcentral.
CAUUGUCAACCAUCAAGCCUGGCUUGUCGUUGGACCCGUUGUCGCCACAAGCGAUAGGUCCGAAAGAUAAUGAACGGUGUCAUGGUGGCCCUAAAUGCAACGAGCUUUUAAUAGCACGCAUCUGGUGGUCGGCAGGCCCGGUCUUAACCCAUUAUUUCAAGGUUGACCUCGGAUCGAGGUAGGAUACCCGCUGAACUUAA